GAGAAUGCCGGUGUGAGUAGCGAAAGACGGGUGAGAAUCCCGUCCACCGAUUGACUAAGGUUUCCAGAGGAAGGCUCGUCCGCUCUGGGUUAGUCGGGUCCUAAGCUGAGGCCGACAGGCGUAGGCGAUGGAUAACAGGUUGAUAUUCCUGUACCACCUAUAAUCGUUUUAAUCGAUGGGGGGACGCAGUAGGAUAGGCGAAGCGUGCGAUUGGAUUGCACGUCUAAGCAGUAAGGCUGAGUAUUAGGCAAAUCCGGUACUCGUUAAGGCUGAGCUGUGAUGGGGAGAAGACAUUGUGUCUUCGAGUCGUUGAUUUCACACUGCCGAGAAAAGCCUCUAGAUAGAAAAUAGGUGCCCGUACCGCAAACCGACACAGGUAGUCAAGAUGAGAAUUCUAAGGUGAGCGAGCGAACUCUCGUUAAGGAACUCGGCAAAAUGACCCCGUAACUUCGGGAGAAGGGGUGCUCUUUAGGGUUAACGCCCAGAAGAGCCGCAGUGAAUAGGCCCAAGCGACUGUUUAUCAAAAACACAGGUCUCUGCUAAACCGUAAGGUGAUGUAUAGGGGCUGACGCCUGCCCGGUGCUGGAAGGUUAAGAGGAGUGGUUAGCUUCUGCGAAGCUACGAAUCGAAGCCCCAGUAAACGGCGGCCGUAACUAUAACGGUCCUAAGGUAGCGAAAUUCCUUGUCGGGUAAGUUCCGACCCGCACGAAAGGCGUAACGAUUUGGGCACUGUCUCAACGAGAGACUCGGUGAAAUCAUAGUACCUGUGAAGAUGCAGGUUACCCGCGACAGGACGGAAAGACCCCGUGGAGCUUUACUGUAGCCUGAUAUUGAAAUUCGGCACAGCUUGUACAGGAUAGGUAGGAGCCUUUGAAACGUGAGCGCUAGCUUACGUGGAGGCGCUGGUGGGAUACUACCCUAGCUGUGUUGGCUUUCUAACCCGCACCACUUAUCGUGGUGGGAGACAGUGUCAGGCGGGCAGUUUGACUGGGGCGGUCGCCUCCUAAAAGGUAACGGAGGCGCUCAAAGGUUCCCUCAGAAUGGUUGGAAAUCAUUCAUAGAGUGUAAAGGCAUAAGGGAGCUUGACUGCGAGACCUACAAGUCGAGCAGGGUCGAAAGACGGACUUAGUGAUCCGGUGGUUCCGCAUGGAAGGGCCAUCGCUCAACGGAUAAAAGCUACCCCGGGGAUAACAGGCUUAUCUCCCCCAAGAGUUCACAUCGACGGGGAGGUUUGGCACCUCGAUGUCGGCUCAUCG
RNAcentral lists this ribosomal RNA (1256 nucleotides) under Staphylococcus aureus. RNAcentral's name for it is "partial 23S ribosomal RNA". It matches the Rfam family "Bacterial large subunit ribosomal RNA", at positions 1290 to 2542 of the family's 2925-position model. The record is from RNAcentral. Lineage: Bacteria; Bacillati; Bacillota; Bacilli; Caryophanales; Staphylococcaceae.